RNAcentral lists this long non-coding RNA (721 nucleotides) under Trifolium pratense (red clover). RNAcentral's name for it is "long non-coding RNA (TPRA_LNC001584)". Lineage: Eukaryota; Viridiplantae; Streptophyta; Magnoliopsida; Fabales; Fabaceae. The record is from RNAcentral.
AGAUAUUAUGAUUUCAAUUACAGAAAACCUUGUCGGAUAUGAAAAGAAAGUAAUGAGUUGCUUGCUAUUUAUUUUUAUCUUUUGUUUUCUUUAUAUUCUGAUCCAAUUUUUCUUUCUUUGCAGUACCCAGAUUUGAAGCCGCCGUCAUCUCCAACUCCAUCAAAGCCACAAUAAUGAUGUUAGCAAUACCAUACUCAACUGGCAUCUUCAGGGAAGAAAUGAUUUUCUGCAAAGACAAUAUGAUUCUGCAACUGUUUUAAUUCGGAAUUUUACAAUUAUUCGUUCUCUACUUCUUGUUGAGUUUUAGAAAUAGUGUAAAGCAUCUUUACAAACAAUAAUCCGGUUCCGGAUUUUUAAGAGUGAUUAAUUAAUUGCUACAGAAUCUUAGCAACAAUGAGAAGUGAAGUACUAGUUGUGUAAUUGUUAAUACUUGGGAGAUUGGUAAAAAAAAAAGUGAAGAAAAAGAUAAGGUAACAAUUGGAGCCCUUAGGAGUUGAAUUUUCAUCAGGAUAAAUAUAAAGGAAAUUGGACAUUCAUGUUACAUAUUUAUAAUCUAUAAGAGAAGCACAUUGGAGGAACAUGAACUUAACAAUUGUUGCUUUCAAUGCAUCUGAUGUGUGUUUCUCGAAUUGUAAGUCGAAUACACCAUGUACUCUUUAUGAUACUAUCUUUGCUUAUAAAAAAUCAGCUGCUUAUUCUCUAUAAGCUAUAAGUAAUUAGC